CUUGCGGGUGUGUGGGGGGCUGGGAGUAAGAGCCCAGUUUCAUCGGAGAGGGGCGUUCGGGCCCGGAGUGGAGCGGGCCUGCUAGAGUACGCGGCUGCUGCCCAGCUCCUGCUGUUUGCGAUGGUGCAGGCCCAGCAUGGCCUGUCGUGUGAGGCUGAAAGUCUGGGUUGAAAUCUGUUGAUUUGUAAAUGUUAGCAGCUAAAACAGAACAAAACAGACGCACUGUCCGAUCAAACAGCGCCGUGCACUGAGCACGGGUGGAGGCUGCCUGAGCUCCUGAGGCCUCCGCUCGGCGUGGCCGCGGACCCGGAGGGGAUGAGAGGCCCUCAGGCCCGGGAGGAUUCGGGAGGUGGUUCCUCCCACUGGCUGCAGGAACCCGAUCUUGUCUUUAUUUAAAAGUUUGAUAUUUUGUUUAUCAUGGGUUUCUUGGCAUUAAUUUUGAUUCAAAAAGAUGUUGCAUUAAAGUAUUAUUUAUCUGAUUACUAGGUUUUUUGGCCCCUCCUUUAAGUUUUGCUCAGCAGGCAAGGGUCUCACUCAGCUCAGCCUCGUCCCGGCCCCGCUGCCCCCACUGGGAGGUAGUUUCCAGGGAGGGGACAAGAGACUCGGUUCGGGUGCAUCUUAUAAUUGAUGGUGUCUGACAAUCACUCAACCAGAUGAGAGUCAUGACUUAGGAGUAUGAAAAUCAUCUGUUGACAUUUUCUGAUUGCAAGAGGCUGUGGCUCAUAUGUAUGAUAUUCUCAACAUAGGGUUUCAGCAAUUAUGGAUAAAGCUGUUAUGGACUUCCAUGUGUAGGUUUUUCUGUGGACAUAAGUUUGCAAUUCCUUUGGGUAAAUACCAAGAAGCACAAUUGCUGGAUCUUACGGUCAGCUGUUUACCAGUUUGACAAGUUUUUUUCCAAUACUGGCUGACCCUCUGGAGGAAUGGUUUAUCAACGUGAUGUAGUUCCUGACUGAUACAACAGUUGCUUAAAGA
Equus quagga is the source of this 972-nucleotide long non-coding RNA. RefSeq lists it as uncharacterized. The record is from RefSeq and is a predicted model, not a curated record. The transcript has 5 exons. NCBI's taxonomy places the organism in Eukaryota, Metazoa, Chordata, Mammalia, Perissodactyla, Equidae.